Neopsephotus bourkii (Bourke's parrot) is the source of this 527-nucleotide long non-coding RNA. RefSeq lists it as uncharacterized. Lineage: Eukaryota; Metazoa; Chordata; Aves; Psittaciformes; Psittacidae. The record is from RefSeq and is a predicted model, not a curated record. The transcript has 5 exons.
AGUUUUGGUGCUGGGCGGGAAGAAGCAGGGGCGCGAGGCGAAGGCGGGAAGGCGCUGUCCGGUCGCUGAGGUGAUAAUGGUGGCUCGUUUGAGAAGCACUCCUAGAAGAACAAGAUAAUUGAAAGGUCUUCAUGCUUCUAUGGGAAGCCAGAUGCAAAACCUUCUCCAGCUGAGGAGAGUUUAACUGAGGAUCAUCCUUCUGAACUUUCCAUAGAGAUUCUGAAAUGGUGCACUGCCAUACAUGUGGAAUAAGAGGUAUUGCCUUUUCUGAGGCUAGAACCAAAAGAGCUACUGGUACCUGGACUCAGUGUUACAAGACAGACAUGAAGCUCUAACCCGCUGACGCACUGGAAAGUUCUGCAGGCAACAGAGCAAUAAAAGCUGCCACUGUGGGUGAAGAGCCCUCGGCAAGCAGUAGUCAGCACUCUCAGAAGCACUGAAAAUGCCCAAUCUAAGUGUAUGUAUGGAGUUUGUUAAAUAUUUAUCCAGAUUUAGAUGAGAAUAAUAAAAACCACAUGCUAACAGUA